RNAcentral lists this ribosomal RNA (433 nucleotides) under uncultured bacterium. RNAcentral describes it as "partial 16S ribosomal RNA". It matches the Rfam family "Bacterial small subunit ribosomal RNA", at positions 29 to 507 of the family's 1533-position model. The record is from RNAcentral.
AACGAACGCUGGCGGCAUGCCUAAUACAUGCAAGUCGAACGAACACUUCGGUGUUAGUGGCGCACGGGUGCGUAACGCGUGGGAAUCUACCCUUGGGUUCGGAAUAACAGUUAGAAAUGACUGCUAAUACCGGAUGAUGACGUAAGUCCAAAGAUUUAUCGCCCAAGGAUGAGCCCGCGUAAGAUUAGCUAGUUGGUAAGGUAAAGGCUUACCAAGGCUACGAUCUUUAGCUGGUCUGAGAGGAUGAUCAGCCACACUGGGACUGAGACACGGCCCAGACUCCUACGGGAAGCAGCAGUAGGGAAUAUUGGACAAUGGGGGCAACCCUGAUCCAGCAAUGCCGCGUGAGUGAUGAAGGCCUUAGGGUUGUAAAGCUCUUUUACCCGAGAUGAUAAUGACAGUAUCGGGAGAAUAAGCUCCGGCUAACUCCGUG